CCCGCUGAACUUAAGCAUAUCAAUAAGCGGAGGAAAAGAAACUAACAAGGAUUCCCCUAGUAACGGCGAGUGAAGCGGGAAGAGCUCAAAUUUAAAAUCUGGCGCAAGCCCGAGUUGUAAUCUAGAGAGGCGUUUUCCGUGCCGGACCAUGUACAAGUUCCUUGGAAUAGGUCAUCAUAGAGGGUGAGAAUCCCGUCAAUGACAUGGACUACCGGUGCUCUGUGAUGCGCUUUCAAAGAGUCGAGUUGUUUGGGAAUGCAGCUCAAAAUGGGUGGUAAAUUCCAUCUAAAGCUAAAUAUUGGCGAGAGACCGAUAGCGAACAAGUACCGUGAGGGAAAGAUGAAAAGCACUUUGGAAAGAGAGUUAAACAGUACGUGAAAUUGUUGAAAGGGAAACGCUUGGAGUCAGUCACAUGGUCGUGGACUCAGCCUUGCUCUUGCAUGGUGCAUUUCUACGUUCAUGGGUUAACAUCAUUUUUGGUUGCUGGAAAAGGGCUUGAGGAAGGUGGCACGCUCGGGUGUGUUAUAGCCUCUUGUCGUAUACAGUGGCCGGGAUUGAGGACCGCAGCACGAAUCGGGGUUCGCCCACGCCACGUGCUUAGGAUGUUGACGUAAUGGCUUUAAACGACCCGUCUUGAAACACGG
RNAcentral lists this ribosomal RNA (644 nucleotides) under uncultured fungus. RNAcentral's name for it is "eukaryotic LSU rRNA". It matches the Rfam family "Eukaryotic large subunit ribosomal RNA", at positions 24 to 664 of the family's 3401-position model. Lineage: Eukaryota; Fungi. The record is from RNAcentral.